RNAcentral lists this unclassified non-coding RNA (376 nucleotides) under uncultured Actinomycetes bacterium. RNAcentral describes it as "uncultured actinobacterium contains 16S-23S intergenic spacer region". The record is from RNAcentral. Lineage: Bacteria; Bacillati; Actinomycetota; Actinomycetes.
UCCGGUUUGUCACCGGCAGUAUCCCCAUCACCCCGAAGGGCAUGCUGGCAACACAGAACAAGGGUUGCGCUCGUUGCGGGACUUAACCCAACAUCUCACGACACGAGCUGACGACAGCCAUGCACCACCUGUAUACCGACCACAAGGGGGGCACCAUCUCUGAUGCUUUCCGGUAUAUGUCAAGCCUUGGUAAGGUUCUUCGCGUUGCGUCGAAUUAAGCCACAUGCUCCGCUGCUUGUGCGGGCCCCCGUCAGUUCCUUUGAGUUUUAGCCUUGCGGCCGUACUCCCCAGGCGGGGAACUUAAUGCGUUAGCUGCGGCACCGACGACGUGGAAUGUCGCCAACACCUAGUUCCCAACGUUUACGGCGUGGACUAC